Molecule: ribosomal RNA, 481 nt
Filed under: uncultured bacterium
Lineage: Bacteria
Description: partial 16S ribosomal RNA
Rfam family: Bacterial small subunit ribosomal RNA
Source: RNAcentral
GACGAACGCUGGCGGCGUGCCUAACACAUGCAAGUCGAACGGAACUGUUUUGAAAGAUUUCUUCGGAAUGAAUUUGAUUUAGUUUAGUGGCGGACGGGUGAGUAACGCGUGAGUAACCUGCCUUCAAGAGGGGAAUAACAUUCUGAAAAGAAUGCUAACACCGCAUGACAUAUCGGAACCACAUGGUUUUGAUAUCAAAGAUUUUAUCGCUUGAAGAUGGACUCGCGUCCGAUUAGUUAGUUGGUGAGGUAACGGCUCACCAAGACCGCGAUCGGUAGCCGGACUGAGAGGUUGAACGGCCACAUUGGGACUGAGACACGGCCCAGACUCCUACGGGAGGCAGCAGUGGGGGAUAUUGCGCAAUGGGGGCAACCCUGACGCAGCAACGCCGCGUGAAGGAUGAAGGUUUUCGGAUUGUAAACUUCUUUUAUUAAGGACGAAAAAUGACGGUACUUAAUGAGUAAGCUCCGGCUAACUACGU